Molecule: long non-coding RNA, 216 nt
Filed under: Elaeis guineensis (African oil palm)
Lineage: Eukaryota; Viridiplantae; Streptophyta; Magnoliopsida; Arecales; Arecaceae
Description: long non-coding RNA (EGUI_LNC080421)
Source: RNAcentral
CAGGGCCUCUUGGAGGUUGGCUACCUCAGCAACCUUUUCUUGGAGGCGGGCGACUUUGGUCCGACGACGCUCCUCCGCCUGGAUGGCAUCCCAUCUCACCCGGUUCGUCGCCUCGAUGUUGGCGAGAAACUGGUGCCCGAUCUGCAAGGGUGGCCAGGAGGUCAGAAUAGGAGUUGGAGAAUUAAUUAAACAAAGGUGCGAAAGGAAGGAGGGAGG